UCCCUCUUAGCUCAGUUGGUAGAGCGCGUCACUAGUACAUGUUGCAAACAUAGAUAAAUGACGAGGUCAGUCGUUCAAGUCGGCUAGAGGGAA
This is a non-coding RNA of Termitomyces sp. T159_Od127, 93 nucleotides long. NCBI's taxonomy places the organism in Eukaryota, Fungi, Basidiomycota, Agaricomycetes, Agaricales, Lyophyllaceae. The record is from the annotation of a GenBank genome assembly.